This 931-nucleotide ribosomal RNA is filed under the name Bacillus sp. DCU22. RNAcentral's name for it is "partial 16S ribosomal RNA". It matches the Rfam family "Bacterial small subunit ribosomal RNA", at positions 1 to 1336 of the family's 1533-position model. The record is from RNAcentral. Lineage: Bacteria; Bacillati; Bacillota; Bacilli; Caryophanales; Bacillaceae.
GAUGCAUCAUCGUGAGAGAUCAAAAUGUCUCACACAGAUAGAUUUAGAUGACUGCCGUCGCAUAAACUGUACAUUGGUGAACAGUCCGGUGAAUGGUGGACCGGUAUUGGAUAUUUGGUNAUGGACGCCCGGGGUUUCUAAUUAAGGAGAAGCCCAGGUCAACCGGGGGGUCUUGGUACUUGGACUAUUGUGCUAAAUAGAAAACGGGUUUCCCCUGCUUGGAGAAUGUUUGAUUUAGGGAAGACCCCCUUGCCAAGGGGUUUUUCUGGUUGUAACUUAUAGUGAGACCGCGAAUAUUGGGGGAAUAAACGGGAUUAGUUUCCCCUGGAUUCCACCCACUUAACACAUGGACUGUAAGUGGUGGAAGGGUUUACGGCCCUUAGUUUGGAGUUACCCAUUUAAGCCACACCCCCUGUGGCAGUACGGACCGCAGGCUGGAAACUAAAAGGAAUGUACGCGGGGCCCGCACAAGCCGGUGGAAGCAAUGUGGUUUAUUAGGAGGCAAGGCGAAGAAACUUACCAGUUCUUGUCAUCCUUCUGACCAACCCUAGAGAUAGGUCUUUUCCUUCAGGAGCAGAGUNACAGUUGGUGCAUGGUUGUCGUCAGCUCGGUUCGUGAGAUGUUGGUUAAGUCCCGCAACGAGCGCAACCCUAGAUCUUUAGUGGCCAUCAUUAAGUUGGGCACUCUAAGGUUACUCCCGGUGACAAACCGGGAGCAAAGGUGGGGGAUGACGUUCAAAUCAUCAUGCCCCCUUAUGACCUGGGCUACACAUCGUGCUACAAUUGACGGUUACCAAAGAGCAGCAAAGACCCGCGAGGUGGAGCUAAUUUCAUAAAAAACGCGUUACUUCCAAGUUCGGGAUUGUAGGUCUGUCAUUCUUCGGCCCAAUCAUGAAAUCCUGAAAUCGUUUAUGUCAGACAUCCAACUUGCU